GGGACACGUGGUAUCCUGUCUGAAUAUGGGGGGACCAUCCUCCAAGGCUAAAUACUCCUGACUGACCGAUAGUGAACCAGUACCGUGAGGGAAAGGCGAAAAGAACCCCGGCGAGGGGAGUGAAAAAGAACCUGAAACCGUGUACGUACAAGCAGUGGGAGCCUCUUAAUGGGGUGACUGCGUACCUUUUGUAUAAUGGGUCAGCGACUUAUAUUCUGUAGCAAGGUUAACCGAAUAGGGGAGCCGAAGGGAAACCGAGUCUUAACUGGGCGUUAAGUUGCAGGGUAUAGACCCGAAACCCGGUGAUCUAGCCAUGGGCAGGUUGAAGGUUGGGUAACACUAACUGGAGGACCGAACCGACUAAUGUUGAAAAAUUAGCGGAUGACUUGUGGCUGGGGGUGAAAGGCCAAUCAAACCGGGAGAUAGCUGGUUCUCCCCGAAAGCUAUUUAGGUAGCGCCUCGUGAAUUCAUCUCCGGGGGUAGAGCACUGUUUCGGCAAGGGGGUCAUCCCGACUUACCAACCCGAUGCAAACUGCGAAUACCGGAGAAUGUUAUCACGGGAGACACACGGCGGGUGCUAACGUCCGUCGUGAAGAGGGAAACAACCCAGACCGCCAGCUAAGGUCCCAAAGUCAUGGUUAAGUGGGAAACGAUGUGGGAAGGCCCAGACAGCCAGGAUGUUGGCUUAGAAGCAGCCAUCAUUUAAAGAAAGCGUAAUAGCUCACUGGUCGAGUCGGCCUGCGCGGAAGAUGUAACGGGGCUAAACCAUG
Molecule: ribosomal RNA, 770 nt
Filed under: Escherichia coli
Lineage: Bacteria; Pseudomonadati; Pseudomonadota; Gammaproteobacteria; Enterobacterales; Enterobacteriaceae
Also listed under: 4 other names
Description: bacterial LSU rRNA
Rfam family: Bacterial large subunit ribosomal RNA
Source: RNAcentral